GCAUGAAAACUACUAGGUUUCUUCCCAGCUUAAAGAGCAACUUUAAAGGAUGCUAGAUGGAGUCUCACUCUGUCACCCAAGCUAGAGUGCAGUGGUGUGAUCAUAGCACUGGAGCCUAGAACUCCUGACUGAAGCAAUCAAUCCUCCCACCUCAGCUUCCUGAGUAGCUGAGACUAUAGGUAGUGUGCCAGUAUUUGAAAAAUCCCAAUGUAUCUGAUUCACUGCUGCUGCAGAAUAUUUUCCAAGCUCUGAAUGUAUAUUACAAUUAUUCGGGCCAGGUGAAAUGCCUGAAUAUUUCAGAGACAGCAACUAGCAGUCUGGGAACACUGGGUUGGAGCUAUCAGGCCUGCACAGAAGUAGUCAUGCCCUUUUGUACUAAUGGUGUCGAUGACAUGUUUGAACCUCACUCAUGGAACUUAAAGGAACUUUCUGAUGACUGUUUUCAACAGUGGGGUGUGAGACCAAGGCCCUCCUGGAUCACUACUAUGUAUGGAGGCAAAAACAUUAGUUCACACACAAACAUUGUUUUCAGCAAUGGUGAACUAGACCCCUGGUCAGGAGGUGGAGUAACUAAGGAUAUCACAGACACUCUGGUUGCAGUCACCAUCUCAGAGGGGGCCCACCACUUAGAUCUCCGCACCAAGAAUGCCUUAGAUCCUACGUCUGUGCU
Molecule: small RNA, 670 nt
Filed under: Pan troglodytes (chimpanzee)
Lineage: Eukaryota; Metazoa; Chordata; Mammalia; Primates; Hominidae
Description: processed transcript
Source: RNAcentral